RNAcentral lists this transfer RNA (68 nucleotides) under Marmota monax (woodchuck). RNAcentral's name for it is "tRNA.Val". The stretch from base 5 to 65 matches the Rfam family "tRNA", at positions 6 to 65 of the family's 71-position model. From Rfam's summary of the family: Transfer RNA (tRNA) molecules are approximately 80 nucleotides in length. Lineage: Eukaryota; Metazoa; Chordata; Mammalia; Rodentia; Sciuridae. The record is from RNAcentral.
GGAUUGUAGCUCAGUGGCAGAGUGCUUGCCUCACAUGUAUGAGACACUGGGUUCCAUCCUCAGCACCA